Molecule: ribosomal RNA, 253 nt
Filed under: uncultured bacterium
Lineage: Bacteria
Description: partial 16S ribosomal RNA
Rfam family: Bacterial small subunit ribosomal RNA
Source: RNAcentral
GACAGAGGGUGCAAACGUUGCUCGGAAUCACUGGGCGUAAAGGGCGUGUAGGCGGGAAGGAUAGUCAGAUGUGAAAGCCCUGGGCUCAACCCAGGAACUGCAUUUGAAACUCCCUUUCUUGAGUGUCGGAGAGGAAAGCGGAAUUCCUGGUGUAGAGGUGAAAUGCGUAGAGAUCCGGAGGAACACCAGUGGCGAAGGCGACACGCUGGGCCGUACCUGACGCUGAUACGCGACAGCAUGGGGAGCGAACGGG